RNAcentral lists this ribosomal RNA (497 nucleotides) under uncultured bacterium. RNAcentral's name for it is "partial 16S ribosomal RNA". It matches the Rfam family "Bacterial small subunit ribosomal RNA", at positions 28 to 507 of the family's 1533-position model. The record is from RNAcentral.
GAUGAACGCUGGCGGCGUGCCUAAUACAUGCAAGUCGAGCGAACAGACGAGGAGCUUGCUCCUCUGACGUUAGCGGCGGACGGGUGAGUAACACGUGGAUAACCUACCUAUAAGACUGGGAUAACUUCGAGAAACCGGAGCUAAUACCGGAUAAUAUAUUGAACCGCAUGGUUCAAUAGUGAAAGACGGUUUUGCUGUCACUUAUAGAUGGAUCCGCGCCGCAUUAGCUAGUUGGUAAGGUAACGGCUUACCAAGGCAACGAUGCGUAGCCGACAUGAGAGGGUGAUCGGCCACACUGGAACUGAGACACGGUCCAGUCUCCUACGGGAGGCAGCAGUAGGGAAUCUUCCGCAAUGGGCGAAAGCCUGACGGAGACACGCCGCGUGAGUGAUGAAGGUCUUCGGAUCGUAAAACUCUGUUAUUCGGGAAGAACAAAUGCGUAAGUAACUAUGCACGUCUUGACGGUACCUAAUCAGACAGCCACGGCUAACUACGUG